RNAcentral lists this unclassified non-coding RNA (345 nucleotides) under soil metagenome. RNAcentral describes it as "partial contains 5.8S ribosomal RNA, internal transcribed spacer 2, and large subunit ribosomal RNA". The stretch from base 1 to 119 matches the Rfam family "5.8S ribosomal RNA", at positions 35 to 154 of the family's 154-position model. The record is from RNAcentral.
GAUGAAGAACGCAGCGAAAUGCGAUACGUAAUGUGAAUUGCAAAUUCAGUGAAUCAUCGAGUCUUUGAACGCACAUUGCGCCCCCUGGUAUUCCGGGGGGCAUGCCUGUCCGAGCGUCAUUGCUGCCCUCAAGCACGGCUUGUGUGUUGGGCCCCGUCCUCCGAUCCCGGGGGACGGGCCCGAAAGGCAGCGGCGGCACCGGGUCCGGUCCUCGAGCGUAUGGGGCUUUGUCACCCGCUCUGUAGGCCCGGCCGGCGCUUGCCGAUCAACCCAAAUUUUUAUCCAGGUUGACCUCGGAUCAGGUAGGGAUACCCGCUGAACUUAAGCAUAUCAAUAAGCGGAGGA